Molecule: long non-coding RNA, 1551 nt
Organism: Oncorhynchus gorbuscha (pink salmon)
Lineage: Eukaryota; Metazoa; Chordata; Actinopteri; Salmoniformes; Salmonidae
Exons: 3
Source: RefSeq, a predicted model, not a curated record
UGGAGCGAGUGGUCGCAUCUGCACGUCGCUCCAACGGAAACCAAACAAAAAGAGAAUUGAACCUAAUUUGACAUCAUAACUGGAAUUGGACAUCUUCCUUGCUGAAUAUUGAAGACAGCUGUUGUAUGCUAACUACAUACUGUUGGAAGAGGGAGUGGGGCGGAUAAGAGAGUGGAGAGGAUGAUGAGGUAGUGGGGAGCUCCUCUGUCAGAAACCACUUGAAGCACUCUGCCUCAUAUGGAAAUGGCAAGGGACUUUGCACUCCAGACUGGGACUCAUCAGAACCAACAGCAAGGCCAGGAGGGGUGAAACGGCUGCUUUGCUUUCCAGCUACCUCAGACCCUCCGUACUUCACCCACUGUUGGUCUGCCUCCAUCACCACCAGGGACCUGGGACUUUGUCGGUUGGCAAGGGGUUCUCGCUUUCAGGGUUCUCAAAGUCUACAAGGCUGGAGAGCAUCUCAUCACUGUCACUGUCAGCAUCUAAUUCCUCACUUUCACACUCAGACUUGAAUUUCCAAAAAUUUCCACAUUUGUGAGUUGUCUUUGGAAAGACAUUGCUAAUGCUACAGCUUAGGCCACUAGCUACAUACAUAAACAACAACACUGAGUGACUGUCAGGGGGAUGUGAUUGGGUGCCAGUGUGGUGAUACUGAUGAUUUGGCCCCACAGAUGGUUUGUUUACAUAGCAGGUUAGAACAAUUAACGUGGCAGGUUAGGUGAAUUAACGUGGUAGGUUAGGAGAACUCACACAGCAGGUUAGGCUAAUUGACAUAGGAGGUUAAGAGAAUAAAGUUAAGGUUAGAAAAAGGGUAGGCUUAGCUACAAUGCUACAGUUGUCAACAAUGUUAUUGAUGUUAUAGCAAACGAGGUGAAGGGAUGGUUCACUCAUCUUCGAGUAAACUAACGGAAGUGAAUGAUGGAGAGUAAAUGAUGGUAGACGACGCACCCCCUUUGAAUUCAACAGACCCAACUCAUCUUGUCACCUCGUCUUUGGUUGACGCGGAUAAACAAACAUGGCGGCGGCACAAACUCUACCCACUGUCGGAUUACUUUUCGACAUUUAGAAAGAGAUGGACUAAAUAAUUUAGUUCACUGGUGAGCUCACCCCUCAUGUGAUAAAUUGUAAAUAGUAAUUGCUAUUAGCUAAUUCGUAUUAUGGUUUCUGUCAGCCGAGAGUUAACUAAAUAUGACUGCUUGUAUUAACUCACUCGUACCUCAGGUAGUGCUAGGACUAAUGUAGUCUACAUUUUUAGAUUGGGAUGAGAAUUGUUUUAUGCGGUUGCUACUUCUGUGAAUGUCUGAACAUCUGCAUCCAAACAUGAACUUCUCACAUCCAGGACAUAUAGCUGUAAAGACUGUGUUUGUGAAAAAUGUUUCUGUGACAAAACAGUGUAGCCAGCUCAAAAACGCUGACUGUUCUAAUCGCACAGGAGUGUUCUAAUCACACAGGAGUGUUCUAAUCACACAGGAGUGUUCUAAUCACACAGGAGUGUUCUAAUCACACAGGAGUGUGCUAAUCACAUAGGAGUGUUCUAAUCACACAGGAGUG